Molecule: long non-coding RNA, 4188 nt
Organism: Oncorhynchus tshawytscha (Chinook salmon)
Lineage: Eukaryota; Metazoa; Chordata; Actinopteri; Salmoniformes; Salmonidae
Source: Ensembl
CACAAAACUGGCGGGAUUAUGGAAACGCACCGAUGCUUUUCUCUAAAGAGCACCACCUUCUUGAGCAAAGAAUAUUACGAUAAUUAGACAGGUUUUAUGUAGGCUACAUUGUGAACAAUGCUGCUAUUGAAAUGGACAUAAUCUUGUGUACUAAGAGUUUUAUGUAUCCUAUAAUUGUAUAGGCGUCAUGUAUCCGACUGCACAGUCACGUGGACAACAUAUGUCAAGACCAAUAACUUCACCUGAAUAAGCCUCUCCCACAGAUGCACUGCACUACGUUGACUGGCCAUUGUUGUGACAUUUCAUAUUGAUUGAAUGGCUCACUAUGAUAUGAUCAAUCUGAAAAUCAAUCCUUUGGCGUCUACAAGUAGUUCCAACCUGACCAUCCAUGUGCGAAUGUUAUUCGGAUUGAAAAUGCGUGUUGGCGAUGUAAUUCUUCAGGAAUCUUCAGGUAUUCUGAAUAUCAGCACAGAAGGUGCUUUUACACUGUGAACAAUCAGUCAGCACAGCCAUGGCCUCCGUCGGUGGUCUGUUGCCAAGGGGAAUAGUCCUGGCUGAAGGAUAGAGAGAGAAGGGGAGAGAGAGGGAGAGAAAAGGCAGCCUUGCGGUGCUGAAGAAGAGAUGGUCAUCACUGACAGGAGCUCCAGCACUCCUGGGCCCAAGAACAAGGAACCGAAGAAGAGGGCAUCCCGCCCCCAUGGCCUGCCCUCCCCGGCGCUGUGCUGCGCGUGUGGCUUGUGCAUCAUGCUGGCAGGCAUCAACAUCACCCUGGUGGGGGCGUUUGCCUUCAGCACCAUGGUGCCCUCUACCAACCCUCCCAUCAUCAUAGGGCCCAUCCUGCUUCUGGUGGCCUUCUCUUUCUUCGGGGCGUGCUGUGUCUGCAGCCGCCUGCCCCCUGCCCAGGGCUCCCGGAGGUCUAAGGUGGGCGGAAGGAGCAUGGGGAUGAUGGGGCGUGGAGGUUUAGCCGGGGGAGUGACGUUUGAGAUUGAGACGAGUGAGCACACAUUCCAGGACACGACAGCAGUACAGCUCAGCCCCUCAGCCUCACCUGGGUCAUCCCGGGCAUCCAGCCCCGAGCGGGAUGCUUCUCCUGACCCCGCACCCCCAGGGGCCUUCAAGCUCUUCACCAUGGAGACCAAUGGCCCCACCUCCGCCACGGCAUGCUAUUCUGCCUCCUCGGCAGGGGGAGGGGCUGUGAGGCUCAACCUGCCACGUGAUGAUGUGGCCACCUAGCACUCCCCUGAUUAACACAUUGUAGCAUGAGCCUCCUGCCCCAGGGGACUGACGCAAAACUAUGUAAAUGUGGGCUGUGACGGUCAUGGAAUUUUGGAUGACGGUUGUGAUACAGCCUGGAAUCAAACCAGGGUCUGUAGUGACACCUCUAGCACUGAGAUGCAGUGCCAUAGACUGCUGCACCACUCGGGAGCCUUGAUGACAGCUUUUUACCCUCUUGACAUUAUCUCAACCAGCUUUUAGGUAGUCACCUGGAAUGCAUUUCAAUUAACAGGCUUGGUUGUUAAAUAGUGGAAUGUCUUUCCUCCUUAAUGUGUUUGAGCCAAUCAGUUGUCUUGUGACAAUAUAGGGUUGGUAGCCCUAUUUGGGAAACGACAGUCCAUCAUUACUUUAAGACAUGAUGGUCAGUCAAUCCGGAAAACUCCAAGAACUUUGAAUGUUUUUUCAAGUGCAGUCGCAAAAACCAUCAAGCACUAUGAUGAAACUGGCUCUCAUGAGGACCGCUACAGGAAAGGAAGACCCAGAGUUACCUCUGCAGAGGAUAAGUUCAAUAGAGUUACCAGCCUCAGAAAUUGCAGCCCAAAUAAAUGCUUCACAUAGUUCAAGUAACAGACACAUCACAACAUCAACUGUUCAGAGGAGAAUCAGGCCUUCAUGGUUAAAUUGCUGCGAAGAAACCACCACUAAAGGACACCAAUAACAAUAAGAGACUUGCUUGGGCCAAGAAACAUGAACAAUAGACAUUACACCAGUGAAAUCUGUCUGUUGGUCUGAUGAGUCCAAAUUUGAGAUCUUUGGUUCCAACUGCCGUGUCUUUUGUGAGGCGCAGAGUAGGUGAACGGAUGAUCUCCGCAUGUGUGGUUCCCACUGAGAAGCAUGGAGGAGGAGGUGUGGGGGUACUUUAAUGGUGGUACUGGUACAUUUAUUUAGAAUUCAAGGCACACUUAACCAGCAUGGCUACCACAGCAUUCUGCAGUGAUACGCCAUCCCAUCUGGUUUGCGCUUAUCAUUUGUUUUUCAACAGGACAAUGACCCAACACACCUCUAGGCUGUGUAAGGGCUAUUUGAUCAAGAAGGAGAGUGAUGGAGUGAUGCAUCAGAUGACCAGGCCUCCACAAUCACCCGACGUCAACCCAAUUGAGAUGGUUUGGGAUGAAAUGGACCGCAGAGUGAAGGAAAAGCAGCCAACAAGUGCUCAGCAUAUGUGGGAACUCCUUCAAGACUUUUUGGAAAAGCAUUCCAGGUGAAGCUACAUUGGGAAGAAAGUAUGUGAACCCUUUAGAAUUACCUGGAUUUCUGCAUAAGUUGGUCAUACAAUUUUUAUCUGAUCUAAGUCACAACAAUAGACAAACACAUUCUGCUUAAACUAAUAACACACAAUUAUAUUUUUUCAUGUCGUUAUUGAACACAUCGUGUAAACAUUCACAGUGCAGGGUGGAAAAAGUAUCUGAACCCUUGGAUUUAUAACUGGUUGAUCCUCCUUUGGCAGCAAAAACUUCAAACAAACAUUUUCGGUACUUGUGGAUCAGACCUGCACAGUGGUCAGGAGGAAUUUUGGACCAUUCCUCUUUACAGAACUGUUUCAGUUCCACAAUAUUCUUGGGAUGUCUGUUGUGAUCCGCUCUGAGGUCAUGCCACAGCAUCUCAAUCGGGUUGAGGUCAGGACUGACUGGGUCACUCCAGAAGGCGUAUUUUCUUCUGUUCAAGCCAUUCUGUUGUUGAUUACUUCUGUCUAAUGGGUUCUGUUGCUUCACCUAACUUCUGUUGAGCUUCAAUUGGCGAACAGAUAGCCUUACAUUCUCCUGCAAAAUGUCUUGAUAAACUUGGGAAUUCAUUUUUCCGUCGAUGAUCGCAAUCUGUCCAGGCCCUGAGGCAACAAAGUAGCCCCAAACCACAAUGCUCCAUCCACCAUACUUUACAGUUGGGAUGAGGUUUUUAUGUUGGUGUGCUGUGCCUUCUUUUUUUUCACACAUAGUGUUGUGUGUUCCUUCCAAACAACACAACUUUAGUUUCAUCUGUCCAUAGAAUAUUUUGCCAGUAGCACUGUGGAACAUCCAUGUGCUCUUUUGCCAACUUCAGACGUGCAGAAAUGUUAGAUGUUAGCAUGUUCCAGAGAUUUUUGUACGUCUUUAACUGACACUCUAGGAUUCUUAACCUCAUUGAGCGUUCUGUGCUGUGCUGUUGUGGUCAUCUUUGCAGGACGGCCACUCUAGGGAGAGUAGCAACAGUGCUGAACUUUCUCCAUUUACAGACAAUUUGUCUUACCGUCAACUGAUGAACAUCGAGGCCAUUAGAGAUACUUUUGUAACCCUUUCCAGCUUUAUGCAAGUCAACAAAUCUUAAUCUUAGGUCUUCUGACAUCUGUUUUGUUCGAGGCAUGGUUCACAUCAGGCAAUGCUUCUUGUGAAUAGCAAACUCAACAUUUUGUGAGUUUUUUUUAUAGGGCAUGGCAGCUCUAACCAACAUCGCCAAUCUCAUCUCAUUGAUUGGACUCCAGGUUAGCUGACUCCCGACUCCAAUUAGCUUUUGGAGAAGUCAUUAUCCUAGGGUUUCACAUAAUUUUUCCAACCUACACUGUGACUAUUUAAAUGAUGUGUUCAAUAUAGACAAGAAAAAUAACAUAAUUUGUGUAUUUAUUAGUUUAAGCACACUGUUUGUCUAUUGUUGUGACUUUUUUUUAUGUCAAAUUUAUGCAGAAAUCCAGGUAAUUCCAAAGGGUUCAAAUACUUUUUCUUGCCACUGUAGUUGAGGGAAUGCCAAGAGCGUGCAAAGCUGUCAUCAAGGCAAAGGGUGGCUGUUUUGAAAAAUCAAAAGUAUAUUUUGAUAUUUUUAACACUUUUUUUUGUUGGUUACUACAUGAUUCCAUAUGUGUUAUUUCAUUGUUUUGAUGUCUUUACUAUUAUUCCAAAAAAUAAAGAAAAACCCUUGAAUGAGUAGGUGUGUCCAGACUUUUGA